Molecule: ribosomal RNA, 498 nt
Filed under: uncultured bacterium
Lineage: Bacteria
Description: bacterial SSU rRNA
Rfam family: Bacterial small subunit ribosomal RNA
Source: RNAcentral
GAGUUUCAUCUUGGCUCAGAUUGAACGCUGGCGGCAGGCCUAACACAUGCAAGUCGAGCGGUAGAGAGAAGCUUGCUUCUCUUGAGAGCGGCGGACGGGUGAGUAAUGCCUAGGAAUCUGCCUGGUAGUGGGGGAUAACGCUCGGAAACGGACGCUAAUACCGCAUACGUCCUACGGGAGAAAGCAGGGGACCUUCGGGCCUUGCGCUAUCAGAUGAGCCUAGGUCGGAUUAGCUAGUUGGUGAGGUAAUGGCUCACCAAGGCGACGAUCCGUAACUGGUCUGAGAGGAUGAUCAGUCACACUGGAACUGAGACACGGUCCAGACUCCUACGGGAGGCAGCAGUGGGGAAUAUUGGACAAUGGGCGAAAGCCUGAUCCAGCCAUGCCGCGUGUGUGAAGAAGGUCUUCGGAUUGUAAAGCACUUUAAGUUGGGAGGAAGGGCAGUAAAUUAAUAACUUUGCUGUUUUGACGUUACCGACAGAAUAAGCACCGGCUAAC